This is a long non-coding RNA of Ochotona princeps (American pika), 379 nucleotides long. RefSeq lists it as uncharacterized. The record is from RefSeq and is a predicted model, not a curated record. Lineage: Eukaryota; Metazoa; Chordata; Mammalia; Lagomorpha; Ochotonidae. The transcript is spliced from 2 exons.
GUUUUGAAGUCUCACUCUCCAUAUAAGAUCGAGAGCUUCUUCAAAGAAGAACCCAAGGCUUAGCUAAUUUAUCGAUGUCUAGGAAGUUCAUGGAAAAAUAUAAUUAAAAGAUGCUGUGGAUUUUCCAUGGACUGUUAGAAGUCCGCUUGUUGUGUGUUUACGGGUUUGAGUAAAGAGUAGGGGUUUAUUUGAAGAAAGAGCACCAAGGACACUUGGGCUGCGUGGGGUGUUUCCUGUGGACAUCUGUCCUGACCUGGAAUACACUGGCAGUAGAUGAAGUUGUUACCUGGGUCUUUGCUGCUGUCGUGGUCUCUUCCUUUCCCUUGGCUCCCAAUCUAGACUGCCUUAUAGUGGCAGUUUAUUCUCUUCAUCCCCUUUU